UGAACCUAAAAAGAUUUCUAUACCUGUGAAC
This 31-nucleotide non-coding RNA is filed under the name Mus musculus (house mouse). Lineage: Eukaryota; Metazoa; Chordata; Mammalia; Rodentia; Muridae. The record is from RNAcentral.